UACAGAGGUCCCAAGCGUUGUUCGGAUUCACUGGGCGUAAAGGGUGCGUAGGCGGUCGGGUAAGUCUGAUGUGAAAUCUCACAGCUUAACUGUGAAACUGCAUUGGAUACUAUUCGGCUUGAGAGUUGGAGGGGGGACUGGAAUUCUUGGUGUAGCAGUGAAAUGCGUAGAUAUCAAGAGGAACACCAGUGGCGAAGGCGAGUCCCUGGACAACUUCUGACGCUGAGGCACGAAAGCCAGGGGAGCGAACGGG
This 253-nucleotide ribosomal RNA is filed under the name uncultured bacterium. RNAcentral's name for it is "partial 16S ribosomal RNA". It matches the Rfam family "Bacterial small subunit ribosomal RNA", at positions 524 to 776 of the family's 1533-position model. The record is from RNAcentral.